GAUGGUUCGAUGGUGUGGUCCUAGAGGUAUAUUUCUGCGGAGGUCGAUGUUCACGUUGUGGGUGAUUGCGACGACCAACAUCAUCUUUAGUCGCAGGUGAGGGUCUCUGAUACAUGGAAGAAAAAUCAUAUAGCUCGAAUGGCAUCGAUGAACUUAAGCCGGGAGGAGUGUCAUGCUGUAGUGGAUACGGGCCAAGAGUAGUGGAGUACUGCAGUCGGUACAGGCCGGGAGAAGCGUUGUGCUACGGUGG
Molecule: long non-coding RNA, 250 nt
Filed under: Gossypium barbadense (sea-island cotton)
Lineage: Eukaryota; Viridiplantae; Streptophyta; Magnoliopsida; Malvales; Malvaceae
Description: long non-coding RNA (GBAR_LNC007504)
Source: RNAcentral